RNAcentral lists this ribosomal RNA (450 nucleotides) under uncultured bacterium. RNAcentral describes it as "partial 16S ribosomal RNA". It matches the Rfam family "Bacterial small subunit ribosomal RNA", at positions 354 to 796 of the family's 1533-position model. The record is from RNAcentral.
GUGGGGAAUUUUGGACAAUGGGCGCAAGCCUGAUCCAGCAAUGCCGCGUGCAGGAAGAAGGCCUUCGGGUUGUAAACUGCUUUUGUACGGAACGAAACGGUCCUGGUUAAUACCUGGGGCUAAUGACGGUACCGUAAGAAUAAGCACCGGCUAACUACGUGCCAGCAGCCGCGGUAAUACGUAGGGUGCGAGCGUUAAUCGGAAUUACUGGGCGUAAAGCGUGCGCAGGCGGUGCUGUAAGACAGGCGUGAAAUCCCCGGGCUCAACCUGGGAAUUGCGCUUGUGACUGCAGUGCUGGAGUACGGCAGAGGGGGAUGGAAUUCCGCGUGUAGCAGUGAAAUGCGUAGAUAUGCGGAGGAACACCGAUGGCGAAGGCAAUCCCCUGGACCUGUACUGACGCUCAUGCACGAAAGCGUGGGGAGCAAACAGGAUUAGAUACCCCUGUAGUCC